CCUACGGGAGGCAGCAGUGAGGAAUAUUGGUCAAUGGACGAGAGUCUGAACCAGCCAAGUAGCGUGAAGGAUGACUGCCCUAUGGGUUGUAAACUUCUUUUAUAAAGGAAUAAAACGAGGCACGUGUGCCUUUUGCAUGUACUUUAUGAAUAAGGAUCGGCUAACUCCGUGCCAGCAGCCGCGGUAAUACGGAGGAUCCGAGCGUUAUCCGGAUUUAUUGGGUUUAAAGGGAGCGUAGAUGGGUUGUUAAGUCAGUUGUGAAAGUUUGCGGGUCAACCGUAAAAUUGCAAUUGAUACUGGCAGUCAUGAGUACAGUUGAGGUAGGCGGAAUUCGUGGUGUAGCGGUGAGAUGCUUAGAAAUCACGAAGAACCCCGAUUGCGAAGGCAGCUUACUAAACUGUGACUGACAUUGAUGCUCGAAAGUGUGGGUAUCAAACAGGAUUAGAUACCCCAGUAGUC
Molecule: ribosomal RNA, 459 nt
Filed under: uncultured bacterium
Lineage: Bacteria
Description: partial 16S ribosomal RNA
Rfam family: Bacterial small subunit ribosomal RNA
Source: RNAcentral